CUUUCACCUGUGCACCUGCCAGAUAAGCAUGGGUAUAAAAUGUUUGUGGUUAGCUUUGCCACUGUUUUUUAUUGCUUUUAUUCCUCAACUUGAAAACAAGAAACACACAGCUCAUUGUUCAACCCUAAAGAUACAACUGGUUAUCAACCUAUUGCCCAGUCCUUAGUCUGUAGUCGAUGCUCCUAUGCCAUUCAUUUCAUUCAACAAUUCAACUGUUUCAACAUAUUACCAAUGUCAUCAAAACCAUCUGGAAGGAAAUAAAAAUACCAAAAAGGAA
Long non-coding RNA from Tachysurus fulvidraco (yellow catfish), 277 nucleotides. RefSeq lists it as uncharacterized. The transcript is spliced from 2 exons. Lineage: Eukaryota; Metazoa; Chordata; Actinopteri; Siluriformes; Bagridae. The record is from RefSeq and is a predicted model, not a curated record.